UCUAAACUGCGCAGCAUCACAGUCACUACAACACUCCCGUACACAUAACCUUUAUGGCACAGCUGGAAUUUUCUUUUUUAUGAUAAUAUACAAUGUUGUGCAGUUUUCAAGCCGUGGAAAAUGUCCUGUUCAGAGCAAUGCUUGGUCUGCAUUGCUGUAAAAAAAAUUUAGGGGGAAUGUUGUCAGCCAAUCAGAUGGCAGCAGCUCAAGGCAUAAAAGCAUGCACAUAAUGUCAAGAGGUUCAGUUGUUCAGACUCUACAUCAGAAUGAGGAAGAAAUGUGAUCUAAGUGACCUUGACUGUGGAAUCAUUGUGCCAGACGGGGGUAGUUUCAAUAUCUCAGAAACUGCUGGUCUCCUGGGAUUUUCACACAGAACAGUCUCUAGAGUUUACAGAUAAUGAUGUGAGAAACAAAACACACUCAAUGAGCAGUUCUGUGGGAAGAAACACUUUGUUAAUGAGGGAGCUCAGAGGAGAAUGGCUGGGCUGGUUCAAACUGACAGGAAGGCAACAGUAACUCAAAUGAUCACAUGUUAACGGGUGUGCGGAACACAAUAAUAUGUUGAAUCUUGAAUUGGAUGGGUUACAGCAGCAAAAUAUCACAAAUAUACUCAAUGACCACUUUAUUAGGUACCUCCUGUACCUAAUAAAGUGGCCACUAAAUGCACUUAUGAGGAUUCCUGUUUGCCACAGCACACAUUGCUUUGCACUUACAAAUAUAAUGAUUUCAAAAUCCAAAGUAAAUGUAUUAUUUAGGUAUAUGAUUGUUUAUUUGUUAAAGACAACGUUAGUUCUGGUCUUGAAAAGGUUAAAAGACUUAUCUAACUGAAAGCUUGUACAAUAUCUUGGCUGUUUAAAAAAAAAUCUGCCUACUGGCAGGCAAAUAACAUUUUAGGAAAAUCAUCAAAAAUCGCUAUCAUUCCUUGACUAGUUCUGAGGGAUUUGAGGUGUGUAUCUGGCUUCAAAGAUCUCAGAUUUGAUUUAUGCAGCUAUUGAUUCAUACAUUUGUUUCCAUAAUUAGUUUUUGGUUCAUUUUUAUUAUAACUUACAUUUCUGAAUAGUCUGUCUACCUGAAUAAUUUAAGACCUAGCUUUCUGACAGUGCAGUAUUGCUUAGUAGUAUACUGGCUGUGUUCUUGAGCGCACCAAAGCCUUUUAACUGUACAGGGCUGAGCAAAGACUGGUUUGUGUGGAGGCAUCUCAGCCUACAUGGUCAUGACUUGAAAGUAAAAUUGAGUGCAUUUGACUGAAAAGCAGUUUACGCAUGUGAGAAUGCUGACAAAUUAAUAGUCAAAGGUCAGAAAGUGUGAAAUUAAGAAGAACAUUGGAAAUUAAGUCAUGAAAGAAUACUGCAAGAGGAAAAAUUAAAUCCAAAGAUCUUGUUUUACAUAAAGAAAAUCAGGACAACUAUCAGAGAUUCAAAGUUUCCAUUUACCUCUGUCUGGAAGUGGAAAAAUAUUAAUUGGGUUCUUAAUGAAUAUGUCUUAGCUGUCUCCACAAGGAAGAUGAAGCCUAACGGGCUUUGACAAGCUCCAGUUGUAGGUUGAUCAAAAGUCCAUUGUAUCCAAAAGGAGAAGGUUAUUAAUAAAUUUGCUCAGUGGCAGGUAGCAGUAGGUAGUUGACACAUUUUUAAUGACUGGAAGCCUUUUCUUUUCAGUCGAGUUCUACAGGGCUCUUGUGUUUUUUUGUAAUAUGAGUUAUGGAAGGUGCAUUACAAUGAAUGUGCAGAGGGGAAAAAAGCUGGCAAGUUGACUUUAAGCAAGAGAGCUUUAGAUAGUUGUUGAAGUAUGAAGCAGCACACAGUGGUGGAGAAACUCUAGCAGGCCAAUCGGUAUCUUUGAGGAGAAAGCAAUUGUCAUUGUUUCAGAUUGAAACCCUGCUCCACAGUGACUCAAGAAAAAUGACCUUUCCAGUAGUACCUGUCAGCAGGUUGGGAGAUGCUGUUGAUCUUUAGUUACUUGCUAAUUGCUGUGGGUGCCAGACUUUGGCAAACCAGAUUUAAUGUAAUUUGCAUUGCUGUUUUGUUGGCCAUUUAAAAUUCACUUGUUUGCUCGGGUAUGAGCCAGCUUCAAUUAACCCAGAUACUGCCAGUGGUGAAAACAACAGUUGCCAUUUUGGCCUCCUCUACUGUAAAGAUGAAGCCACACUCAGGUUGGAGGAACAACACCUUAUAUUCCGUCUGGGUAGCCUCCAACCUGAUGACAUGAACAUUGACUUCUCAAACUUCUGCUAAUGCCCCACCUCCCCCUCGUACCCCAUCCGUUAUUUAUUUAUAUACACAUGUUCUCUCUCCCCCCUCUCCCCCCCCCCGACUAUACCCCUUGCCCAUACUCUGGGUUUCCCCCCCCUCCCCCUUUUCCUUCUCCCUGGGCCUCCUGUCCCAUGAUGCUCUCAUAUCACCUUUUGCCAAUCACCUGUCCAGCUCUCGGCUCCAUCCCUCCCCCUCCUGUUUCCUCCUAUCAUUUUGGAUCUCCCCCUCCCCCUCCCACUUUCAAAUCUCUUACUAGCUCUUCCUUCAGUUAGUCCUGACGAAGGGUCUGGGCCUGAAACGUCGACUGUACUUCUUCCUAUAGAUGCUGCCUGGCCUGCUGCGUUCACCAGCAACUUUGAUGUAUGUUGCUGGAAUUUCCAGCAUCUGCAGAAUUCCUCAUGUUUGAGUUGCCAUUUUGGGCCAACAUAAGAAAAUGGCAUGGGGAAAUUUUGACCAUCAAAUGACAAGAUUUUUCAAAUAAUAGAAUUCUAGUUCUGAAAUAUUCUUGUCCUGAAUAUUUCUCCACUGAUGCUGCCUCUUCUAGCAUUUUCUGUUUCUGUGUUGGAUUGGCAGUUCUUUGCUCCAAACAGUGUGAGCCAUAUAUUAGGAAUUUUGAUAUUUUUACUUUGUAACAGUUUGAUCCUUUUGGAUUUUUGAUCCUGUCUGAAAAUCAUUUCAAAAUAUUUUAAUUUCCAUUACCCAUUUUCAUUCAGCAAUAGUAAAUCCAAUUAAUGCAUAUUUGUAACCUUCCUGUUCACAAUCCAGAACACAUUUUCUAUGUGAAGCAGUGAUUUACCUAUGCAAUAUUCAGUCAUUUGUUCACAAUGUGGCUUCUGUAUUUGCUUCAGUCCACAGUUGUGGCCCUAAGCUUCUAAUCAACUGUCACUUUAAUUCUCCAUCCCUUUUGUACUUUGAUCUGUUUUUGGCCUCCUACAUUCUUUCAUCAGGAAUAACACAUUUUUUAGAAAUUCAAAUUAGAGCCUCCUCUAAUAUAAUUUGUAGCAUUCCUUCUGUUGUUUUGAUAAUUUCAGAAUAUUCUACAUUUACGCCUUUUACUUACUAUAUCAUUCCUCUCAUUUACAUCUUUCCUCUUUCUAAUCAUACUUUCCCUCUUCACCCCUUGCCCUUUCUGUAUCUUAACCUGUUUCUCUGUUCCUUGUCCUGAUGAAAGACCAUUGAACUGAACUCUGAAUUGUUUCUCUCUUCACAGGUGCUGCCUGACCUGCUGAGUAUAUACAGAAUACUGUUUUUAUAAUUACAUUAUUAUUCACCUAAGGAUACUGGCUUGUAUUUGAUCUUCAGAAAAUAUCUAUAGCCCAUAUUUGAGCCUUGGCCUUUAGUUUCAAUUACACAUUUACCCAUAAUGGGAAAUUGUGAAUGGUUUUAAUCCUCUUGCCAAGAAUCCCACUUCAGCUUUGGAAAAGGACAAGUCAAACGAGCUAUAAUUGGUUUGUUGAUUGGCAGAAUGUCAAGUGCAGUCCUUUGGUAAAACCAGCUUAGUUAUCAUUGAAUGAGAAUUGAGCCUGUGCUCCAAACACACACAAAUCCAGGGAAGUUUACUCACCUAAAGAGCAGUAUUCCAAAUUGUAUCAGUCAUAUACAGUGGAUUCUGGUUAAUUGGGCCAUCAGGGGACAUCUCUUAAAUAACAGAACCAAAUUGAGAAAAUAGCCUGGAUUCCUUUUGUUUAUUUGGGACUCUAUGCCACUUAAUUGGGACAGGAGACUGUUGCUGAAGUUUCUGUGCAUGUUGUGUUCCUGUCAGAGAUUACACUGUGUGUAGAGCGUACGGUUUUUAAAUAGUGCCACCUCUGUGUGUUUGUAUUUUUAAAAAAAAGUGUUUUAUGUCACUGAUAGUUGGCAAGUAAUAAGCAGUAAGACAGUCUAGAACUGUGUUACUCACUAUGGUUUCAAGCAGUCCAGCUCGGAGAUGCCAGAAACGGCCAGGCAUGAAAAUAAAACUACUUCACUAUUUCAAGUUAAGAAUGGCAAAGAAUUUGAAGGUAUCAGCAAUCAUCUUGAAUGUUACUAUGAAAAUGAAGAUUUGGAGGAGGUAAUCGUCGAAAGUAUUGUUUGAAGGCAGUCCAUUAUCUGCACUAAGUGUCUGUGCUGAAUUUGUGCCAUUUACAGUCAAUCAAAAAUACAUGGUUGCAUCUGUGAAUAUUAGAAACUAAAGCACAGUUUUAUAGUACUGCAGUAGUCUUGGUAAAGUUCUAAUUUCUUCUGUAUUUCAUUUAAACGGCAGUUUGUCUUUUUUGUACUUUUUAAAUUAUUUCUGUGAAACUUCACCUAAUUGGGGCAGCCACUAAUUUGGCGACAACGUACUGGUUCUGCUGUCCCAGUUAACCAGAACUCACUGUAAUCGCAGAUCAAAAUAAUACAUCUAGAGUUGGGUCAAAUUAUUUAAAAACUUGAAAUAUAAAAGUUUAGUUUCAAUGUUAUUUUCUGUUUCAACCUCAUCUUAAUCAGUCAAAUUUAUUAUCACUGAUAUAUCAUGAAAUUUGUUGUUUUAUGGCAGCAAUAAAAAAUGGUGCGAAAGAGAAUGAAUGAGGCCUAGUCAGAAGUCUACAGAGGGGGAAAAACUGUUCCCAAAAUGUUGAGUGUUUUUAGGCUCCUGAUCUCCUCCCUGAUGGUAGGAAUGAGAAGAUGGCAUGUCCUGGACAUUGAGGGUCCGUAAUGAUGGAUGCUGCUUUGAGACGUUGCCGUUUGAAGAUCCCCUUGAUGUUGGAGAGGCUUGUGCCUGUGGAGCUGGCAGCCUCUUGAUCUUGUGUGUUGGAACCUCCAUACCAGGCUGUGAUGAAACCAGUCUGAAUGCUCUCCAGCAUCUGUAGAUAUUUGUUAAAAUCUUUGACCUAAUAAAUCUACUCAAACUCUGAAUACAUACAGCCACUAGCAUGCCUUCAUGAUUGCAUCAGCAUGUUGGACCCAGAAUAUAUCCUUUGAGGUGUUAAUGCCUUUGAAAAUGCUCACCUUUUCCACUCCUGUACCUUCAAUGAGGGCAGGUGUGUGUCUCCCAAUCUCCCGUUCCUGAAGUCCACAAUCAAUUGUUUGGUAUUGCUGACUGACAUUGAGUGCAGGAUUGUUGUUGCGACACUGCUCAGCCAGCUGAUCUGUCUCACUCCCGUACACCACUUCGUCGCUGCCUGAGAUCCUGCCAACGACAGUAGUGUCAUCAGUGAAUUUAUAGAUGGUAUUUGUGCUGAGCCAUGUAGUCAUGAGUGUAGAGAGAUGAGAGCAGUGGGCUCAACAUGCAACCUUCAAGUGUGUUUGUGUUGAUGUCAGCAAGAAAGCAAUAUCAUUACUGAUCUGCACUGACUGGUCUCCUGAUGAGGAAGGCCCAGGCUUUGAAGCUUGUUGAUUAGUAUCACUAUUGAGCGGGGUGAUGGUGUUAAAUGUCGAGCUGAAACACUUUUUUUCAUUCCUACAAUAAUCCAAUCAUUGAUGCAGUUAUUAAAAGUGUAGUUAACCAAUCAUCUGGUAUUCUCUCCUGUUCCUACCCAUGUGAAAUUUCCCUCAGAGUAUAUGAACUCCUUUAUCCUCUGUUUGAUCUGUGAAGGGGAAUCUUGACCCUCAAAACACGUGUGUUUUAAUUAUAAGGUAACUUGCAUGGCACAACUGCCGUAGCCGAGAGAGGUGUGUUUAUUUAGAAUUGGGCACUUUUUUUUAAACAGGCGAGGAAAACUUCCUGAAUGUUUACAAAUCUAAAAAUUUGAGACCAUCCUGUGUUGGUUUGGUAAGCAUUUGCAGUACUAUGUAAGGUUUCCAAAUACACUGACAUUUUUUUAAAUACUGAUCCAAGCUUGUGCUUGUUCUCAUAUCAAAGUGAGAAACUUAGCCAAAUUCCUGGUCUUACAUCUGCUGUGCUGAGAAUCAGGUGCAUGUCUAGCAAUGAGCCUGUCUGUGUGGAGAAGCUGCUUCUGAGAGCUGGUGCCAUCAUUGUGGAUUAAUGCUGAACAUUGUUGAGCUUGUUACUAUGGAGAAAUCUCUGGGCUGGGAGAGUUGUGGAGCCACACGGAAGGAGGAAGAAGGCAACUGAAGUUCCCUCCAAAAAGGUGAUCAAUACACGGAGGAGAUGCUGACAGUCCCAUCAAUGAUCUGCACUCAUUGCUGUUCUCAGUGUAAAAUGGUCACAUUACUCUCCUGAUCCACCCAACACUGACCCUCAGAGACGACCUCUCCAUAAAAGGCUGUGGUCAAUUCAUUGCUGAGGCAGUAUUGGCAAAGGGCAAGAUUUCACACCAGCUAUCUGGUGCAGCCAUGUAAAAAGCAGAGUUCCCAGCCAGUUUUUUUCAGCAUGAUCUGCAGUUUGAGCCAAGUCGUCUAAAAUAAUGCAUGGCUAUUAAGUAGCAGUCGUGUUUGUCGUGUUUGUGCUGGAGGACCAUAAGCACUACAGUGAAUCGAGUGUACAGAUGGUUUGGUGUUGAGUUCUUCUAGAGCUGUCCUUUAUUUGUCGAUACCUAUUAACGACAGGUUAGGAUUAAAGAGAUUUGUCAGGAGAAAUGUCUACCCUGUGCAGAAAUUCUAAUGGCGCUGACUCUUGAUGGGCACGGUUCCAUGAGUGCUGGCAGCCAUCACCAAAGUGGCC
Molecule: long non-coding RNA, 6831 nt
Organism: Mobula hypostoma (lesser devil ray)
Lineage: Eukaryota; Metazoa; Chordata; Chondrichthyes; Myliobatiformes; Myliobatidae
Exons: 3
Source: RefSeq, a predicted model, not a curated record